This 445-nucleotide ribosomal RNA is filed under the name uncultured bacterium. Its description in RNAcentral is "bacterial SSU rRNA". It matches the Rfam family "Bacterial small subunit ribosomal RNA", at positions 28 to 453 of the family's 1533-position model. The record is from RNAcentral.
GAUGAACGCUGGCGGCGUGCUUAACACAUGCAAGUCGAACGAAGCACUUUAUUUGAUUUCCUUCGGGACUGAUUAUUUUGUGACUGAGUGGCGGACGGGUGAGUAACGCGUGGGUAACCUGCCUUGUACAGGGGGAUAACAGUUGGAAACGGCUGCUAAUACCGCAUAAGCGCACGGCAUCGCAUGAUGCAGUGUGAAAAACUCCGGUGGUAUAAGAUGGACCCGCGUUGGAUUAGCUGGUUGGUGAGGUAACGGCCCACCAAGGCGACGAUCCAUAGCCGACCUGAGAGGGUGACCGGCCACAUUGGGACUGAGACACGGCCCAAACUCCUACGGGAGGCAGCAGUGGGGAAUAUUGCACAAUGGGCGAAAGCCUGAUGCAGCGACGCCGCGUGAGCGAAGAAGUAUUUCGGUAUGUAAAGCUCUAUCAGCAGGGAAGAUAAUG